This 415-nucleotide ribosomal RNA is filed under the name uncultured bacterium. RNAcentral describes it as "bacterial SSU rRNA". It matches the Rfam family "Bacterial small subunit ribosomal RNA", at positions 945 to 1359 of the family's 1533-position model. The record is from RNAcentral.
UUUAAUUCGAUGAUACGCGAGGAACCUUACCCGGGCUUGAAAUGCAUCUGACCGACGAGGAAACUUGUCUUCUAGCAAUAGCAGAUGUGUAGGUGCUGCAUGGUUGUCGUCAGCUCGUGCCGUGAGGUGUCGGCUUAAGUGCCAUAACGAGCGCAACCCCUAUCAUUAGUUACUAACAGGUUAAGCUGAGGACUCUAAUGAGACUGCCACCGUAAGGUGUGAGGAAGGUGGGGAUGACGUCAAAUCAGCACGGCCCUUACGUCCGGGGCGACACACGUGUUACAAUGGGGGGUACAGAGGGUUGCUACUUGGUGACAAGAUGCUAAUCUCUUAAAGCCUCUCUCAGUUCGGAUCGGAGUCUGCAACUCGACUCCGUGAAGCUGGAUUCGCUAGUAAUCGCGCAUCAGCCAUGGCG